RNA transcript from Magnolia sinica, 2164 nucleotides. RefSeq lists it as uncharacterized. NCBI's taxonomy places the organism in Eukaryota, Viridiplantae, Streptophyta, Magnoliopsida, Magnoliales, Magnoliaceae. The record is from RefSeq and is a predicted model, not a curated record. The transcript has 13 exons.
GUAUUAUACGCACAAAUCCUACGAUAGUCGGUCGGUUACGUAGCCGCGAAAUUCUCCAGGGUCUCCUGGGGUGUUGUAGGAAUUGCAGCAGAGGAAGAAACGAUACCAUGACCAGAAAAUCUAGUUGUUGCGCUAUCUGCGAGAAUUCAAACGUGGCUUCUAUCUGUACUGUUUGUGUGAAUUACAGAUUAAAUGACUACAACACGUUGUUGAAAUCAUUGAAGACUGUUCGGGAUUCCCUGUACAUGAGGUUGAGUGGAGAGCUCAUGGUGAAGAAUAAAGUGGAUGAUCAACACAAGUGGAGAGUUUCUCAAAAAGAGAAACUUGCACAGUUGAGGCAGAGGCUUCAUCUUAAAGAGAAACAACUCUCACAAGGUUGGUUCAUUUGGAAGGCAGAGCUUGAGAAGAUGUCUGAUGAUUUGAAGGUUAGAUAUGGGCUGUUGGAAUCCGCUUCUGCCACGUUGGAAAGAAACCGUGUGGAGAAGCUGGAGAAGUUCUACCCUAACUUUAUUUGCACUCAAAACUUAGGGCUUAUGCACAUUACCUCUGAACGUCUUCACAAACAGUCGGUGGUAAUAAAACAGAUCUGCAAAUUGUUUCCACAGCGCCGGGUGAAUUCAGAUGGAGAAAGAAAAGAUGGUUCCAGUGGUCAAUAUGAUCAAAUAUGCAAUGCACGCUUACCUAGAGGACUUGAUCCACACUCUAUUCCAUCUGAAGAGCUUGCUGCCUCACUGGGAUACAUGGUACAACUUCUGAAUCUUGUUGUCAAGAUCUUGGCUGCUCCAGCACUUCAUAAUUCAGGUUUUGCGGGUUCAUGCUCACGUAUAUGGCAGCGGGAUUCGUAUUGGGAUGCACGUCCAUCUUCUCCAAGUAAUGAAUAUCCCCUUUUCAUACCACGUCAGAAUAGCUGCUCUGCCAGUGUGGAAAAUUCAUGGUCUGAUAGAAGCUCUAGUAAUUUUGGUGUUACGUCAAUGGAGUCAGAAAGGAAACCCCAACUCGACACUGCUAGAAGUAGUAGCUUCAAUUAUUCUUCUGCGUCUCCGCAUUCAGUUGAAACUCACAAGGACCUGCAGAAAGGGAUAUCACUUCUCAAGAAAAGUGUGGCAUGCAUUACUGCAUACUGCUAUAACUCAUUGUACUUGGAUGUUCCAUCUGAGACAUCCACAUUUGAAGCAUUUGCAAAGCUGCUGAACACGCUGUCUUCUUCGAGGGAAAUUCGAUCUGUUUUGUCCUUGAAAAUUCCAUCUUCUAGGUACAUCCGUACAUGUCAUUUUCGAAAUGGACAUGGGGUGCCUGAUGAGGGGACCUCAGAAAACUGACAGGCUGACACAUCCAUCCACACAUAUUGAAUAAUGUUUUUUUUUUUUUUUUUUUAAUAAGUUUUAGUUUAUAACUGCAUAAAUAUAGCAAAAUGUAUCCACACCAUUGAGUAGAAAUGCAUUCGAACCAUAUGAAUAGUAUGCAAAUCCUGCUAAAAUACCAAAUAAGAGAUAAAUUAAGCCUUUUUUUUUUCUAAUAGGUGACUUAUUUUGUCCAAACACAUCUGAUCUGGGUUUCAGUUGUGGCAAGUUUUUAGGAAAUGGAGUGCCUUGCAAGAAUAAUCUUCACUAGGCAGAAAACUGGCAUCUUAUGGAUGCUCACUUAUGAAGGAUUCUCUCUAAAAGAAUUUCCAACUAUUGCUGUGGACCUGUAAAAGUGAAUAGAGCUAAAUGUCCGGAGAAAAAAGGGCAGACCUUUGACCUGAUGAGAUGCACCAUGGAUGGACAUGAACUCUGCCCUUCAAAAGAAAUUCCCAGAAUUGGUAGAUCCUAGGCAUCCAAUCUUUGGCCUUUCCUUAGCCGAAUGUGGACCUUUCCUGUAUUUCUUAACUGCUUGUUUACAGGCCACUAAUGGAAAGGUUAGGAUUGUCAUCCAAGGAUGUUUUGGGCUCAUCAGCUCAAUGGCCUGGAUCACCAGAGCAGGUGUCAACUUGUACAAACUAAGGUAAGUGUAUCCUUGGUCGACAAUCAUAUAAUUCCUCCUGUCAGUAAUGGGAGGCUGCUAUAGGACUGAUCAGCAUAGAUAUCCAUCCCAAUGAUCUCAAAAACCUCCUGUAGAAAGCUUUUGCCCCUUCAGAAAUGCUCACGCGUUUCUUUGUAACAAUUUCACUUUCUCCUUUCAAGAA